This 295-nucleotide unclassified non-coding RNA is filed under the name uncultured fungus. Its description in RNAcentral is "partial contains small subunit ribosomal RNA, internal transcribed spacer 1, and 5.8S ribosomal RNA". The stretch from base 1 to 73 matches the Rfam family "Eukaryotic small subunit ribosomal RNA", at positions 1759 to 1831 of the family's 1831-position model. The record is from RNAcentral. Lineage: Eukaryota; Fungi.
GCAAACUUGGUCAUUUAGAGGAAGUAAAAGUCGUAACAAGGUAACCGUAGGUGAACCUGCGGUUGGAUCAUUACUAAAUGAGUUCAUUGCUUGGCUCCCAUUUGUAAAUAGAAUGGUUGUAGCCUUGCAUUGAUUUCAAACCAACGUGCACAAUACUGUCCUUGGGAGAGCAGUCUUGUUGUAAAGCGAGACAGCCUCCCGCCAUUUAAACUUUUAGUCUGAAUUGAUUCAUACGAAUCGAAAUACAACUUUUGGCAACGGAUCUCUAGGCUCUCGCAUCGAUGAAGAACGCAGC